This 1797-nucleotide small RNA is filed under the name Pongo abelii (Sumatran orangutan). Its description in RNAcentral is "retained intron". Lineage: Eukaryota; Metazoa; Chordata; Mammalia; Primates; Hominidae. The record is from RNAcentral.
UAUUAAAAGUACCCCAUGGAUGGACCUCCAAAUGAGUUUAGGGUAAUUGUGCUUAAAAUAUUAGGACCAAAGUACAUUUAUUUUAUAGAUGGAGGAGGGGAGGAGACGGGUGGGGACCAGCUUGACAUCCAGUCUUCACCUGGACAUAUGGAAAGAACGAAUGUGCGAUCUGCUCAUUCCCUCUGUAGGUCUCUGUUGUUAUGUAUUUCCUCCUCUCUUUCAGAGCAUAAUAACCAAUGACUGCUCUCAGAAAGGUACUGUGACCACCACUUGCUUGGCUCUCCAACUUCCUCCCCCAUUUCCCUCUUGACUCCUCUUUGCCGUAUCACCUUCUGUCCCCUAGCCUUGUCUCAGGUCUCCGAUGAAUCCUGCCCUUAAUCUGUGGGGGUGGUAGGUGGCACUGGUUUGAAGAGCUUACUGGGUCUCCCUCAAUGAGUCAGCCUGGAGUUGUGUUUGAAAACCACAGGCCCUGACUGUGGCUGUCAGACCUCCCAGACACCAUCUUCUGCUGCCCGUCAUCAUCUUCAGGUGCUGGGCUCCCCUGUGGGCCUCGUCCGCCCGCCCUCUGCUGCAGCUGUCCCAUGGGUGCCCGCCCUCUCUGACACCACAAGAGAACCCAUCUAGAUUCCAGGAACAAACUCAUCUUUAUUUGCCUUCUUCCCACUGAAGGUAAAAGCAACAUUAAUAACCACAAUAAAUACUUAGUGAGUGCUUACUAUUAUUCAUUUAAUUGUUGGCCCUUCCAUCCCUGACCAUGAUGAGAGACAUGCCAUAGCUUACUCCUAAAGAAACCUGAGGACACACGUGCACAAACAUAUUGGGCAUAUCAUCACUGGCAUCAAAACUGAUUUUCCCUGUCUACCCAGAACAGGCCCGAGGGAGAGGGAAAAGCGGAUACCCACCUGUGUCGCUGUUUGCGUGCCAAGUCCAGAACAGUCCACACAGCCCUGCUGCAUCCCACGACGCUGUCACAAAGCAGGAGUUCAUCCGAGGCCGAGGUAUGGAGAAACUGAGGCCCAGAAAUUGAUCUCCAGAAUGCUUUGCUCUUAGCCACUGUACUAUUAUGGCAUAUUUUAUCUUUAUGUAUUGCAUCAUUUCAUGGAUUCAAGUUUAUCAAUGUCCUUUGACAAGUUUAAAAAUCUGUCUGCUAAAACCUAUCAAAUACAUUAAGGAAAAGUCCCACUUGGCACAUCUCCCACACAAGAUGUUAAUUAUUCAUACUGCAUGACUGAGGAUUUUGGAGGCAGAGAGAGAUUCAUCUGCAAUAUUUGGAACACCAAUGGAGGUCUACAUCAACACAGAAUUUAUACAGCAGCUGGUGCUAGUCAGAGCUAAUGACAGAAUUUCAGUUUAAUAAAAAGACCCCCAACUGAGCACACCAUCUUGAAAAAAGUAUACUUAUCAAACAGCUUUCAAUCAGUUCAAGAGAGACACCUUAAUUGGGGAGAGGAAGAAUUGCAGAGUAGUUUGUAAUCACGCCAAUUCCAGAUCAAUAACUGCGUGUCUGUUCUUUGGUAGAAAUAGCUUUUGCUUUAUAUUAAGUAAUCACAUAUAUAUUCUCUCUAUUUGGAUAAGGAAACCUUUGCUUUAUUUGACAAUGUAUAAUGAUAUACUCUUUUAAUUCACCUCUGUGUCUUCAUAAUAAACAUGAGUAAAAUUUAGACAUGUGAUGUAAAUGUCAAUAUAAUUAUUUAUUUUUAAAAUAAAUUUUGUAUCUAACAGGAAAGCAGUGCUUAUGAAAUUUUUAUAUUUUCAAAAAUUGUUUUGUUCAAAUAAAAUUUUAUGAGUAAAGUUAAA